This 465-nucleotide ribosomal RNA is filed under the name uncultured bacterium. Its description in RNAcentral is "partial 16S ribosomal RNA". It matches the Rfam family "Bacterial small subunit ribosomal RNA", at positions 29 to 507 of the family's 1533-position model. The record is from RNAcentral.
AUGCACGCUGGCGGCGUGCUUAACACCUGCAAGUCGCACGGAAAGGCCCAAGCUUGCUUGGGUACUCGAGUGGCGAACGGGUGAGUAACACGUGGGUGAUCUGCCCUGCACUUCGGGAUAAGCCUGGGAAACUGGGUCUAAUACCGGAUAGGACCACAUUUUGGAUGGUGUGGUGGAAAGUUUUUCGGUGUGGGAUGAGCUCGCGGCCUAUCAGCUUGUUGGUGGGGUAAUGGCCUACCAAGGCGUCGACGGGUAGCCGGCCUGAGAGGGUGUACGGCCACAUUGGGACUGAGAUACGGCCCAGACUCCUACGGGAGGCAGCAGUGGGGAAUAUUGCACAAUGGGCGCAAGCCUGAUGCAGCGACGCCGCGUGGGGGAUGACGGCCUUCGGGUUGGAAACUCCUUUCGCUAGGGACGAAGCGUUAUGUGACGGUACCUGGAGAAGAAGCACCGGCUAACUACGUG